RNAcentral lists this ribosomal RNA (465 nucleotides) under Vreelandella stevensii. RNAcentral's name for it is "partial 16S ribosomal RNA". It matches the Rfam family "Bacterial small subunit ribosomal RNA", at positions 338 to 795 of the family's 1533-position model. Lineage: Bacteria; Pseudomonadati; Pseudomonadota; Gammaproteobacteria; Oceanospirillales; Halomonadaceae. The record is from RNAcentral.
CCUACGGGGGGCUGCAGUGGGGAAUAUUGGACAAUGGGCGAAAGCCUGAUCCAGCCAUGCCGCGUGUGUGAAGAAGGCCUUCGGGUUGUAAAGCACUUUCAGUGGGGAAGAAAGCCUUGGGGCUAAUACCCUCGAGGAAGGACAUCACCCACAGAAGAAGCACCGGCUAACUCCGUGCCAGCAGCCGCGGUAAUACGGAGGGUGCGAGCGUUAAUCGGAAUUACUUGGCGUAAAGCGCGCGUAGGCGGUCUGAUAAGCCGGUUGUGAAAGCCCCGGGCUCAACCUGGGAACGGCAUCCGGAACUGUCAGGCUAGAGUGCAGGAGAGGAAGGUAGAAUUCCCGGUGUAGCGGUGAAAUGCGUAGAGAUCGGGAGGAAUACCAGUGGCGAAGGCGGCCUUCUGGACUGACACUGACGCUGAGGUGCGAAAGCGUGGGUAGCAAACAGGAUUAGAUACCCGAGUAGUC